This 452-nucleotide ribosomal RNA is filed under the name uncultured Alphaproteobacteria bacterium. Its description in RNAcentral is "bacterial SSU rRNA". It matches the Rfam family "Bacterial small subunit ribosomal RNA", at positions 1077 to 1533 of the family's 1533-position model. Lineage: Bacteria; Pseudomonadati; Pseudomonadota; Alphaproteobacteria. The record is from RNAcentral.
UGGGUAGUCCGCACGAGCGCACCUCGUCCUUAGUUGCCAUCAUUUAGUUGGGCACUUUAAGGAAACUGCCGGUGAUAAGCCGGAGGAAGGUGGGGAUGACGUCAAGUCCUCAUGGCCCUUACAGGCUGGGCUACACACGUGCCACAAUGGCAUCUACAGUGAGCAGCGAUCCCGCGAGGGUUAGCUAAUCUCCAAAAGAUGUCUCAGUUCGGAUUGUUCUCUGCAACUCGAGAGCAUGAAGGCGGAAUCGCUAGUAAUCGCGGAUCAGCAUGCCGCGGUGAAUACGUUCCCAGGCCUUGUACACACCGCCCGUCACACCAUGGGAGUUGGAUUCACCCGAAGGCGGUGCGCUAACCUUUUAGGAGGCAGCCGACCACGGUGGGUUCAGCGACUGGGGUGAAGUCGUAACAAGGUAGCCGUAGGGGAACCUGCGGCUGGAUCACCUCCUUUCU